This 497-nucleotide ribosomal RNA is filed under the name uncultured bacterium. Its description in RNAcentral is "partial 16S ribosomal RNA". It matches the Rfam family "Bacterial small subunit ribosomal RNA", at positions 28 to 507 of the family's 1533-position model. The record is from RNAcentral.
GAUGAACGCUGGCGGCGUGCCUAAUACAUGCAAGUCGAGCGAACAGAUGAGGAGCUUGCUCCUCUGACGUUAGCGGCGGACGGGUGAGUAACACGUGGAUAACCUACCUAUAAGACUGGGAUAACUUCGGGAAACCGGAGCUAAUACCGGAUAAUAUAUUGAACCGCAUGGUUCAAUAGUGAAAGACGGUUUUGCUGUCACUUAUAGAUGGAACCGCGCCGCAUUAGCUAGUUGGUAAGGUAACGGCUUACCAAGGCAACGAUGCGUAGCCGACCUGAGAGGGUGAUCGGCCACACUGGAACUGAGACACGGUCCAGACUCCUACGGGAGGCAGCAGUAGGGAAUCUUCCGCAAAGGGCGAAAGCCUGACGGAGCAACGCCGCGUGAGUGAUGAAGGUCUUCGGAUCGUAAAACUCUGUUAUUAGGGAAGAACAAAUGUGUAAGUAACUAUGCACGUCUUGACGGUACCUAAUCAGAAAGCCACGGCUAACUACGUG